AAAGGGUGUCUAAUACCGGAUACGACCAUUCCCUGCAUGGGGUGAUGGUGGAAACUUUUGUGGGUGGGGGAUGUGCUCGCCGCCUAUCAGCUUGUUGGUGGGGUAAUGGCCUACCAAGGCUUCGACGGGUAGCCGGCCUGAGAGGGUGACCGGCCACACUGGGACUGAGACACGGCCCAGACUCCUACGGGAGGCAGCAGUGGGGAAUAUUGGACAAUGGGCGGAAGCCUGAUCCAGCAACGACGCGUGAGGGAUGACUGCCUUCGGGUUGUAAACCUCUUUCAUCAUUGACGAAGCCUGAUGUUGAGUUGGGUGACGGUAGGUGGAGAAGAAGCACCGGCCAACUACGUGCCAGCAGCCGCGGUAAUACGUAGGGUGCGAGCGUUGUCCGGAAUUAUUGGGCGUAAAGGGCUCGUAGGCGGUUUGUCGCGUCGCGAGUGAAAACACUGGGCUUAACCGAGUGCUUGCUUUCGAUACGGGCAGACUAGAGGUAUGCAGGGGAGAACGGAAUCCCUGGUGUAGCGGUGAAAUGCGCAGCUAUCAGGAGGAACACCGGUGGCGAAGGCGGUUCUCUGGGCAAUACCUGACGCUGAG
RNAcentral lists this ribosomal RNA (594 nucleotides) under Nocardia sp. BHSYM-03. Its description in RNAcentral is "bacterial SSU rRNA". It matches the Rfam family "Bacterial small subunit ribosomal RNA", at positions 154 to 750 of the family's 1533-position model. The record is from RNAcentral. Lineage: Bacteria; Bacillati; Actinomycetota; Actinomycetes; Mycobacteriales; Nocardiaceae.